UGAGGACACAGCAAGAAAGUGGCCAUCUGCAAGCGCAAAAGACAGGCCUCAGAAGAACCCAACCCUAUUGACACUAUGAUCUUGGACAUCCAGCCUCCAGAACUGAGCCAAAAUCAUGCAGCUUCAUGUCUCCUUAAUGGACAGAAGACUACACUGUUUUUGCUGCACCCAGAGAUAAAAUUAUUGGUUUUGGAGUACCUUCACUGAUGCCAGGGGUGUCAUCUUUACCUUCCAUCACAUAAUAUAUAUAAAGAGAAUUUUUCUUAGCUUUAAAUGAGUUGAUAAGAGGACAAGAAGAAAGUCAAGGACUCCAUUUCCAGGAUUAAAAGUGGUUUUUUUCUUUGUCUUCCAAAUCCUAGCAGUAGAAGCAUUUGAGUUCUGCAGAAAUUACUGAAGUGGUUCAAGUGUGGGCAGUCAGGACACUCAGCCCACCAUACUCAACCCCAACUCAACCUCAACUCUCAGUACGGCAGAGAGGUGGAGAACUCAGAGCUAUAACUUUCAGGAAUUCUCAAAACCUCAGACCAAAUGCAUCUUUGUUUUACCACCUGUUAAAGUAUAUCCUCAUCUGCCUCAGUGCACUUAAGUAUACAACACUGCAGAUUGUGUUUAACUUCAUUUGCAAUUAAUUUAACGCAUUUUGUAUCCAACAUUUCUACUAGGAAAUAGUAUUAGUCUAUCCCCAAACUAAAAUUCACUGCAAAAAUGUAAUUCACUCAAGAAAAAUAAUGAUAAUUCUUCAAACACCUUGAGAUGUCAUUCAACAAUCAUACCCAAUGGGUAAAAUUUAG
RNAcentral lists this long non-coding RNA (791 nucleotides) under Pan troglodytes (chimpanzee). RNAcentral describes it as "lincRNA". Lineage: Eukaryota; Metazoa; Chordata; Mammalia; Primates; Hominidae. The record is from RNAcentral.